Molecule: long non-coding RNA, 636 nt
Filed under: Ananas comosus (pineapple)
Lineage: Eukaryota; Viridiplantae; Streptophyta; Magnoliopsida; Poales; Bromeliaceae
Description: long non-coding RNA (ACOM_LNC029170)
Source: RNAcentral
AGAUAGGAUCGACGAUGGCAAGGUAGGGAAGCUGAUGCCAGGCGGCGGAAGAUGCAAGGAGGGAGGGGAAGAAAACGAAAAAGUUGUUGAGGAGGUGAGACUGGGAGACAGUGAAGAAUGAGAGAGAGAGAGAGAGAGAGAGAGAGAGAGAGAGGGAAGGAGAAGGGAGAGGGUAAGAGAGAGUCAAGAGUAGGUGAGGGAAAGAUGUAAAUUGUAUGUAAAGAUAAAUGGGAGGAAAAUGUUUUAAGUGCUCGUCGGUACGUGCCGUAUCUACCGUGCCAUACCGUACCAACAAGAUACCGGCACGAUACAGACUCCGUGCCGAUGGCACAGCUCAAAACCCUUUAUUCUUUAAAUUAGUAAGUAAUUUUCUUAAUAAAGUUCGAAAGAUGUGAUAAAAAGACAUAAUAAAUAGUUAGAAUAUUUUGUUGUUAAAGAGAAUAAAUAUUUCAUGCUAUUAUGUGUCGGCACACACAAAAUUUUUUGACCGGUACACAUCUGCACGCAUCGUGCCGUAUUGUGCCGGCAAGUUUGUCACGGCACUUAAAUUCUUGGGAGAAAGCAUGCGGCGGGUCCCAUAUAUGCUUUGCAAGUAUCUUCCAACACUAUAGUAGGCCCCACAUAGAGUGAAAUGCG